ACAAACUUGGUCAUUUAGAGGAAGUAAAAGUCGUAACAAGGUUUCCGUAGGUGAACCUGCGGAAGGAUCAUUAUUGAAUCCUUAGGAUGCUGCUGACCCUUGGGUAUGUGCACUCCGCCUUUCAAUACACCUGUGAACUCAUUGUAGGUGCAGAUGUAACAGUCUGCUGCCUACGUUUUUUUAACAAACUCUUAAAAUGUAUUUUGAACGUCUAAAUAUGACCUUUGAUGGUCAAUAAACUUUAAUACAACUUUCAACAAUGGAUCUCUUGGUUCUCGCAUCGAUGAAGAACGCAGC
RNAcentral lists this unclassified non-coding RNA (297 nucleotides) under uncultured fungus. RNAcentral's name for it is "partial contains small subunit ribosomal RNA, internal transcribed spacer 1, and 5.8S ribosomal RNA". The stretch from base 1 to 73 matches the Rfam family "Eukaryotic small subunit ribosomal RNA", at positions 1759 to 1831 of the family's 1831-position model. Lineage: Eukaryota; Fungi. The record is from RNAcentral.